This is a long non-coding RNA of Penaeus indicus, 1082 nucleotides long. RefSeq lists it as uncharacterized. The transcript is spliced from 4 exons. Lineage: Eukaryota; Metazoa; Arthropoda; Malacostraca; Decapoda; Penaeidae. The record is from RefSeq and is a predicted model, not a curated record.
UGAUACCUGGAGUUUGAAUCUGCGGGCGUCCAGGCUGGCGGCGCCCUUGCACAGCAGCAUGUGGCGACUGGUCCCUUCGCUGGAUCUACGGCAGGCGGCGCCCUUCCACAGCAGCAUGUGGCGACUGAUUCCUUCUCUGGAUCUACGGCAGGCGGCGCCCCUUCCACAGCAGCAUGUAGCGACUGGUCCCUUCGCUGGAUCUGCGGGCGUCCAGGCUGGCGGCGCCCUUCCACAUCCUGAGGCGGCUUAAUACCUGCUCUGACGAGCAUCAUGGUCCGCAGACUUGUGGCGAUCUACCGGGACAUCCUUCUCACAGCAUCCCAAGAAACAGAAAGCAGAUCGUACGAAUAAACAACUCGGGAAGAAGAGGGAGGCUAAAUUUAUGGAGCAAAAGGAGAUAAAUGAGCUCUCAACAUUAGACCGGAAUGCCAGGCAAGCUGCGCAGGAGGUGCAGUGGGCCAGAAAUCAAAUGGAAAAAAAUAUACGGGCCGAUCGGGCGGCCCAAUCAGCUCACGCGGCCCAGUUAGCUUGGGCGGCCCGCCGGCAGGAGGAGGCCCGCCGGCAGGAGGAGGCCCGCCGGCAGGAGGAGGCCCGCCGGCAGGAGGAGGCCCGCCGGCAGGAGGAGACCCGCCGGCAGGAGGAGGACCGCAGGCGGCGGGAGGCCCAGUUGGCGGAGUGGGCCCAAGCUGCCUAUGAGGUGCAGCAGGCGCAGCUGGCGGAGCUGCGAGGAGCUCCGCAGCAGUAGAGCUCAGCGCAGCGGCUCUGCCCCUUGCCACGGACACCAGGCAGGGCAGAGUCGUGCGCUCCGCCACCCCCUUACCACCCCCUUGCCACAGAGGCGACUGCAGUAGGCGGAGGAAAAAGCGGGAAGAAGAGGAAGAAGGAGUAAGGAGAGGAAGAAGGAGUAAGAAGAGGAAGAAGGAGGAACAAGAGGAAGAGAAGACCGUCCCCACCGUCGUUGAUGUUUAAGGAUUACCCAAAUUGUUUUUCCUUAUUUCUGUAGCACUGUUUUAUCUUCCUUUUAGAAUAGAUGUCAUGUAAGGUGUAAAAUCUACGCGUAUGUACCUGUCUAUAUCUGAAUA